AAGAGACUUAGUCCUAACCUUACUGUUAGUUUUUGCUAGGUAUAUACAUGCAAGUAUCCGCAUUCCAGUGCGUACGCCCUGGAAACCUUUACCACAAAGUCAAUAGGAGCAGGCAUCAGGCUCACCACCUACCGUAGCCCAAGACGCCCAGCACUUGCCACACCCCCACGGGUAUCCAGCAGUAGUCAAUAUUAAGCAAUGAGUGCAAACUUGACUUAGUCAUAGCAAAUCCAGGGUCGGUAAAUCCUGUGCCAGCCACCGCGGUUAUACAGGAGACCCAAAUUAACGUUACCGACGGCGUAAAGAGUGGUCACAUGUUAUCCAAGUAGCUAAGAUUAAAAAGCAACUGAGCUGUCGCAAGCCCAAGAUGCCCAUAAGGCCUCCCUACCAAAGAAGAUCUUAGACGAACGAUCAAUUGAACUCCACGAAAGCUAGGACCCAAACUGGGAUUAGAUACCCCACUAUGCCUAGCCCUAAAUCUUGAUACCAACCCCAACUAAAGUAUCCGCCUGAGAACUACGAGCACUAACGCUUAAAACUCUAAGGACUUGGCGGUGCCCUAAACCCACCUAGAGGAGCCUGUUCUAUAAUCGAUGAUCCACGAUAUUACCUGACCAUCCCUUGCCCAUAACAGCCUAUAUACCGCCGUCGCCAGCCCACCUCCCCUGAAAGCCCAGCAGUGGACGCAACAGCCAAACACCCGCUAAUAAGACAGGUCAAGGUAUAGCCUAUGGGAUGGAAGCAAUGGGCUACAUUUUCUAAAUUAGCACAUAACGGCAAAGGGGCGUGAAACCGCCUCUCGAAGGAGGAUUUAGCAGUAAAGAGAGACAAUCGAGCCCUCUUUAAGCCGGCUCUAGGGCACGUACACACCGCCCGUCACCCUCCUCACAAGCGAUCCAAACCCUAUACACUAAUAAGCCAUAAAGCUAGAGAGGAGGUAAGUCGUAACAAGGUAAGUGUACCGGAAGGUGUACUUAGGACACC
RNAcentral lists this non-coding RNA (984 nucleotides) under Drymodes brunneopygia. RNAcentral's name for it is "12S ribosomal RNA". It matches the Rfam family "Bacterial small subunit ribosomal RNA". The record is from RNAcentral. Lineage: Eukaryota; Metazoa; Chordata; Aves; Passeriformes; Petroicidae.